RNAcentral lists this ribosomal RNA (404 nucleotides) under uncultured bacterium. Its description in RNAcentral is "bacterial SSU rRNA". It matches the Rfam family "Bacterial small subunit ribosomal RNA", at positions 355 to 775 of the family's 1533-position model. The record is from RNAcentral.
UGGGGAAUCUUGCGCAAUGGGCGAAAGCCUGACGCAGCAACGCCGCGUGAGGGACGAAGGUCUUCGGGUUGUAAACCUCUUUCAGCAGGGACGAUUGUGACGGUACCUGCAGAAGAAGCCCCGGCCAACUACGUGCCAGCAGCCGCGGUAAUACGUAGGGGGCGAGCGUUGUCCGGAUUCAUUGGGCGUAAAGAGCUCGUAGGCGGCUUGGUUAGUUGGGUGUGAAACCUCCAGGCUUAACCUGGAGACGCCACUCAAUACUGCCAUGGCUAGAGUCCGGUAGGGGACCACGGAAUUCCUGGUGUAGCGGUGAAAUGCGCAGAUAUCAGGAGGAACACCGGUGGCGAAGGCGGUGGUCUGGGCCGGCACUGACGCUGAGGAGCGAAAGCGUGGGGAGCGAACAG